AGAGUUGAUCAUGGCUCAGGAUGAACGCUGGCGGCGUGCUUAACACAUGCAAGUCGAACGAAGCUAAGGGAGCUUGCUCCCAAAGCUUAGUGGCGGACGGGUGAGUAACGCGUGGGUAACCUGCCCUAUAGAGGGGGGAUAACGUUCGGAAACGAACGCUAAUACCGCAUAAACCAUAAGGAGCUGCAUGGCUCUGAUGGCAAAGAUUUAUCGCUAUAGGAUGGACCUGCGUUGGAUUAGCUAGUGGUGAGAUAACAGCUCACCAAGGCGACGAUCCAUAGCCGGCCUGAGAGGGUGAACGGCCACAUUGGGACUGAGACACGGCCCAAACUCCUACGGGAGGCAGCAGUGGGGAAUAUUGCACAAUGGGCGCAAGCCUGAUGCCAGCGACGCCGCGUGAAGGAAGAAGGUCUUCGGAUUGUAAACUUCUAUCAGCAGGGAAGAAUAAAUGACGGUACCUGACUAAGAACGCCCCGGCUAACUACGUGCCAGCAGCGGC
RNAcentral lists this ribosomal RNA (499 nucleotides) under uncultured bacterium. RNAcentral describes it as "bacterial SSU rRNA". It matches the Rfam family "Bacterial small subunit ribosomal RNA", at positions 8 to 518 of the family's 1533-position model. The record is from RNAcentral.